GACGAACGCUGGCGGCGUGCUUAACACAUGCAAGUCGAACGGAAAGGCCCUGCUUUUGUGGGGUGCUCGAGUGGCGAACGGGUGAGUAACACGUGAGUAACCUGCCCUUGACUUUGGGAUAACUUCAGGAAACUGGGGCUAAUACCGGAUAGGAGCUCCUGCUGCAUGGUGGGGGUUGGAAAGUUUCGGCGGUUGGGGAUGGACUCGCGGCUUAUCAGCUUGUUGGUGGGGUAGUGGCUUACCAAGGCUUUGACGGGUAGCCGGCCUGAGAGGGUGACCGGCCACAUUGGGACUGAGAUACGGCCCAGUCUCCUACGGGAGGCAGCAGUGGGAAAUAUUGCACAAUGAGCGCGAGCCUGAUGCAGCAACGCCGCGUGCGGGAUGACGGCCUUCGGGUUGUAAACCGCUUUCGCCUGUGACGAAGCGUGAGUGACGGUAAUGGGUAAAGAAGCACCGGCUAACUACGUG
RNAcentral lists this ribosomal RNA (468 nucleotides) under uncultured bacterium. Its description in RNAcentral is "partial 16S ribosomal RNA". It matches the Rfam family "Bacterial small subunit ribosomal RNA", at positions 28 to 507 of the family's 1533-position model. The record is from RNAcentral.